GAGAAAUCUAGGGCAAAGCCAUGAAAGGCGUGAGCUCGAAGCCAGGGGAUUACGUCCACUUCAAGUCCCAGGUCCCCCUCCACAAGAUCUCGAUCGGAUCGAAGCAAUGGAGAUAUUACGAUUUUGGCCCCAAAGCCGUACCCCCGCUCAUCUGCAUCCCCGGAAUCGCUGGCACCGCUGAUGUUUACUACAAACAGAUCAUGUCUCUG
This 209-nucleotide unclassified non-coding RNA is filed under the name Hevea brasiliensis (rubber tree). The record is from RNAcentral. Lineage: Eukaryota; Viridiplantae; Streptophyta; Magnoliopsida; Malpighiales; Euphorbiaceae.